Molecule: long non-coding RNA, 229 nt
Filed under: Ananas comosus (pineapple)
Lineage: Eukaryota; Viridiplantae; Streptophyta; Magnoliopsida; Poales; Bromeliaceae
Description: long non-coding RNA (ACOM_LNC036751)
Source: RNAcentral
AAUAGUUUUACAUAUAAAGAAUAAUAUAUAGGACUAACACUUCUUAAUUCAACUAUAAUAUUUUGGACUGCGGCUAGGCUUAAAAGGCUAAAAGAGUUAAAAUGCUAGGGUUAAAGUAGUCCUAGGAUGAGUGACCUUUUUAGAAAGUGGGGCAUCACAGUUGAUAUCAGAGCCAAUUAUCAACUAAAAAUGUAAGAUGAUUGAGUCUUAACUGAGUCAGAAUUAUACA